RNAcentral lists this ribosomal RNA (468 nucleotides) under uncultured bacterium. Its description in RNAcentral is "partial 16S ribosomal RNA". It matches the Rfam family "Bacterial small subunit ribosomal RNA", at positions 28 to 507 of the family's 1533-position model. The record is from RNAcentral.
GAUGAACGCUGGCGGCGUGCUUAACACAUGCCAGUCGAACGGAAAGGCCGAAGCUUGCUUCGGUACUCGAGUGGCGAACGGGUGAGUAACACGUGGGUGAUCUGCCCUGUACUUCGGGAUAAGCUUGGGAAACUGGGUCUAAUACCGGAUAUGACGAUCUCUUGGAUGGGGUUGUGGAAAGCUUUUGCGGUAUGGGAUGAGCUCGCGGCCUAUCAGCUUGUUGGUGGGGUAAUGGCCUACCAAGGCGUCGACGGGUAGCCGGCCUGAGAGGGUGUACGGCCACAUUGGGACUGAGAUACGGCCCAGACUCCUACGGGAGGCAGCAGUGGGGAAUAUUGCACAAUGGGCGCAAGCCUGAUGCAGCGACGCCGCGUGGGGGAUGACGGCCUUCGGGUUGUAAACUCCUGUCGCAAUCGACGAAGCCUUUUGGUGACGGUAGGUUGAGAAGAAGCACCGGCUAACUACGUG